RNAcentral lists this long non-coding RNA (668 nucleotides) under Rattus norvegicus (Norway rat). Its description in RNAcentral is "long non-coding RNA NONRATT018506". The record is from RNAcentral. Lineage: Eukaryota; Metazoa; Chordata; Mammalia; Rodentia; Muridae.
AUCAAUCAUGGCAACUCAGUCUGUGUAUGAUGCAUCCAUGCCAAGACCUAGCAGAAAAAUGGUCAGAGGAGAGAUCCUUCCCAGUGCUUGGGUCCUGCAGCCUGUUCUCUUGGAGGGGAAAGAAAUAACCAGAGUCAUCUUCCUUGUUCAGGUAGAGCUGGGUGCACCAGGCUUCCCUCCCCAUCUUCUCAACUCCUUUAUCAAACAGCAGCCGUUGGUUGUGGCCAAGCUGGCAUCUUUCCUUCGCCGUUAGUGUUGGGCCAUGGAGACAGCACUGCUGAGGUGUAGGCCCAGGACACCUGAGACUCCAGCUGCUUCUAGACCCAGAGGCAAGAGGAGCCAGCAAAACCAGUACUUAGUACCUGGUUACCUCUAAGAGUGAGCAACCUGAAGCUUCUGGCCGUAGCUGUCCAAAGAGUGAAAUCAGCUCACCUUCAGGAUGUCUCCCCUUUAUUCCUGCCUCGGGGGCUCAAUGGCACCGAGUGUCCAAAACUGGAAAAGGCACAGCCCACAGAGCUGGAGACUGCAGUGCUUUGGCAAGGUGCCUUCUUGGCAGGCAGGCACUGGCCAAGGGUGCUCUGGAUCUGCCUCCAAAAUUCAGUUCCAUUUUGUGAUGGCGUGGUAGAAAGGACCAAACCAUACAGUUUAAAGAAUCAUCUACACAAACC